Long non-coding RNA from Astatotilapia calliptera (eastern happy), 1100 nucleotides. The record is from Ensembl. NCBI's taxonomy places the organism in Eukaryota, Metazoa, Chordata, Actinopteri, Cichliformes, Cichlidae.
GCAGAUGUAAUAUUUAGACGCUGACUACUCCAGAGUCUUGGACCUGCCACAGACAAGGCUCUGUCGCCACAAGAUUAGUUUUGGACUGCACCUCGUGGUUCUUUCUGGAGCAUAAAUAAAUAGGAACUCAGAUAGGUAAGUGGGGCUCAGCCAUUUAGUUAUUUAAAAACAAAAGUAACAUUUUAAAUUUGAUCCUGUAAGUAACAGGAAGCUAGUGUAAGGAGGCCAAUACUGGGGUUAUAUGCUCCUUCAGUUUCCGUAAGCUUAUUUUAUGGGAGACAUACAUUUAUUUAAACCAGGGGUCUCCAACUCCAGGCCUCGAGGGCCGGUGUCCUGCAGGUUUUAGAUAUCACCCUGGGUCAACACAUCAUCACAUCUUGUUGGGGGUGGGCACAUGGCCAUCUGACCUGGACCACAGAGCAAUGGAAGAAGGUGGUCUGAUGAAUCUCUUUUUUCUUCUUCUUUUUUUUUUUUUUUACAUCAUGUUAAUGGCCCUGGUGUGCGUGCAUCACUUCCCUGGCAUUCCAGGUGGGGAACUCCAAGUCUCAAGGCCUGGUGAUCUGCAUGUUUUAGAUAUCACUCUGGGUCAGCACCUGAAUCAAGUGAUUAGUUUAUUAGCAGGCCCGUGGAGAAUUUCAAGACAUGCUGAGGAGGUAAUUUAGGCAUUAGAAUCAGCUGUGUUGGAUCAAGGACACAUCUAUAACCUGCAGGACACUGGCCUUCCCCCACUCCUGAUAUACACUCUUUCAUGGAAACUUCAUGCCACAAAGCAAAAAAUGGUUCAGGAAUGGAUUGAGGAGCAUCCAUGGGGUCCUACAUGACUUAAAGAAUCUGUUGCUAACAUCCUGGUGUCAGAUACCACAGCACACCUUCAGGGGUCUAGUGAGGCCUCAAUGGGUUAGGGCUGUUUUGACAACACAAGGCAGACAGUAUUAGUGCUCAUAACGUUUUGACUGAUUGGUGUGUAACCAAAUGCUGUGGUUACUUUCCCCUUUCCUUUUACUUGUGUUUGAACUCCCUCUUUGGUUUAGCUACCAAAACAUAAACAGUUUGGGUAUCAAACCAACUUGGUUAGGUAUAGAAAAAGUUUAUGGUUUGAG